UUUUAGUAAACUCAGUCCCCUUAGCCCCUAAGCUGCUCUUUCAAAGAGAAAAAGGUAAAGGAUUUGGGAAGAAGGAUCAGCUGCCUGGCCACCGCCAGUCCUCCACAGUUCUAUCCUAUGGUUCCCUGACUGGGAACAGCAGACGAGAGACUCCUGGGCCCUCCCAGUAUGAGUCCCCUGCCGUUCAGGACCAGGACCAGACUGCAUCCUGCAUUAAUUCCUCACUUCUACACUCGGGAGCUGUAAACUUGUUGCUGCUGACUCACAAACAACACCAACCCAAUUUACCGCAGGAAAUGCCAGCACUGCCAGAUUCAUCGCUGACAGAUCUGCUUAAACUUGCUGCCGAAGACUGA
Molecule: long non-coding RNA, 356 nt
Filed under: Cavia porcellus (domestic guinea pig)
Lineage: Eukaryota; Metazoa; Chordata; Mammalia; Rodentia; Caviidae
Description: lncRNA (ENSCPOG00000035340.1)
Source: RNAcentral